This 202-nucleotide long non-coding RNA is filed under the name Lathyrus oleraceus (garden pea). Its description in RNAcentral is "Pisum sativum (pea) long non-coding RNA (PSAT_LNC024418)". Lineage: Eukaryota; Viridiplantae; Streptophyta; Magnoliopsida; Fabales; Fabaceae. The record is from RNAcentral.
AAAAUUAAUACAAGUGAAAAUUUAGUAAAAGAUGUUAGUGAAGAUGAAAAGAUGUUUUUUGGUUAUUUUUUGGAGAACACUCAACUAUUCACUCACAAGCAUGAAAAUAUGAACCUAUACAUAAUUUAUGAGAAGGGCUCCAACGUGAAUAAAAUCAACAAGUAUGCUACUAGCUCUCACAAAUGGAAAAGGAACAACAUUU